ACUCAAAUGAAUUGACGGGGGCCCGCACAAGCGGUGGAGCAUGUGGUUUAAUUCGAUGCAACGCGAAGAACCUUACCUACCCUUGACAUCCGCAGAAUUUCACAGAGAUGUGGAAGUGCCGAAAGGAACUGCGAGACAGGUGCUGCAUGGCUGUCGUCAGCUCGUGUUGUGAGAUGUUGGGUUAAGUCCCGUAACGAGCGCAACCCUUAUCUUUAGUUACCAGCACGUAAUGGUGGGAACUCUAAAGAGACUGCUGGUGAAGAACCGGAGGAAGGCGGGGACGACGUCAAGUCAUCAUGGCCUUUAUGGGUAGGGCUACACACGUGCUACAAUGGGAUGUACAGAGGGAAGCCAACCCGCGAGGGGGAGCCAAUCCCAGAAAACAUUUCGUAGUCCGGAUUGAAGUCUGCAACUCGACUUCAUGAAGUUGGAAUCGCUAGUAAUCGCGAAUCAGAAUGUCGCGGUGAAUACGUUCCCGGGCCUUGUACACACCGCCCGU
This 499-nucleotide ribosomal RNA is filed under the name uncultured bacterium. RNAcentral's name for it is "partial 16S ribosomal RNA". It matches the Rfam family "Bacterial small subunit ribosomal RNA", at positions 899 to 1397 of the family's 1533-position model. The record is from RNAcentral.